Long non-coding RNA from Aethalodelphis obliquidens (Pacific white-sided dolphin), 1453 nucleotides. RefSeq lists it as uncharacterized. NCBI's taxonomy places the organism in Eukaryota, Metazoa, Chordata, Mammalia, Artiodactyla, Delphinidae. The record is from RefSeq and is a predicted model, not a curated record. The transcript has 4 exons.
CGCCUUCUACAACGACAAGGUCAGCAGAGGUGGAGGUGGGGGCUGUGGAGGGCGGAGGAGUUGAACUCUCGGAGCUCGCAGACCCGAGGCACACUCGGCCCCUACAGAAAUCCUGACCCCCGCCCGCUCCCCGCUCCUUCCCCUCCCCUCUCCCCUCUCCUCCGCCCUCCCUCUCCCAGCCGCAAAGGAGGCCCCAAAGCUCACACCUUUCAGGGCCCACCCCUCCCCUCCCCUCCCCCUCCCCCCCCCUCCCCCUCCCCUCCCCUCCCCUUCCCCUCCCCUCCCCUCCCUUACCUCACCCCGCCCCUCCCAAGUUCCCUCCUUCCUUCCUUCCCCUGAAAUCCGCUCCCGGAAACUCCCGCUUUUCUGGCCGCGCCCAGCCGGAGCUCCCUCCCCAUUCAGGAGGCGACCUCGGAUGCUCCCUCCUUUCUGGCCUUGCCCUUGCCCUCCCUCCCCGUGAUUCCGUUCUUCUCCUUGAGCCCUUGACUUUUUAUAAGGAGUGACCUGGAAGACCUCAGAGAAGAAAUCCUAAGAGUACAGAAGAUUGUUUUCCUUUCAGAGAUUAGAAAACUGAGACUCGAGACCAGACUCAAGUAACCAGACCAAGUCACGCAGCUGUUAAGUAACAUGCCAUGGUAACAAAGGGCCUUGUGCUCACUACAGCAGAGCAUCCUGUCUUUGUCCAACCCAGCCCAGAACAUCAGUCUCUGCAAAUAAAAGAUGUGGCCACUCGGCCGCCUGUCGGUACCCCCACCAGAACACUGAGAAAGGUUGAGGCCUCUCCAACUGGAACUGAACUAGGAGAGCAGCAGACAGGUCCCACCUCCUGGAGGAAGACUUCUAGAGAAGAGAGUCUAGAAGACUCCCUAACCUCUGACGCACCCCAGAUGAGCACCCUAGUCUGAGCCCAUCGUAUAAAUUCCUUCCUUCUUGCCAGUAACGAUUUAGGAAUGGGGUUAUACCCAGUGAGACUAAGAGGACACUUGCUGGGGGGCUUCUGGGAAAGGUUUUCUCACUCCUAGGAGAGAAUCACUGGAAGCGACAUGCCCAGUGGCUCUCUUCCUGGGAAUGUUGUCAAGUCUAGAUAUGUCCUGGACCUACUGAAGCUGGUGUGCUCCCAAGCUGAGAAUGGAGCCAACAGCAGGGAUGGCAGAGUGGAGAGCUGGAAGGAGUCUUUGUCCUUGAGGGCAUGAGUGCCCUGCCAUCCCUGGAGGCCACCCUAAUGCUGAACAAGGGAAAUUAAAUAUUGUCACUGCUGAAGCUAUUGAGAGUGGGCUUUCUGAUAUUUUGUGGUAGAAAGCAUCCUUACUAAUAUAACCAGGGCAGCAUUACGACUUUUGUGGGCCCCUUCCUACAGAACAAUUUCUUUUUUUUUUUUUUUUUUUUUGCGUUAUGCAGGCCUCUCACUGUUGUGGCCUCUCCCGUUGCGGAGCACAGGCUCCAGACGCGCAGG